This 98-nucleotide ribosomal RNA is filed under the name Mycobacterium tuberculosis. The record is from RNAcentral. Lineage: Bacteria; Bacillati; Actinomycetota; Actinomycetes; Mycobacteriales; Mycobacteriaceae.
AGUGACGAUAGCCUAGGAGAUACACCUGUUCCCAUGCCGAACACAGAAGUUAAGCCCUAGUACGCCUGAUGUAGUUGGGGGUUGCCCCCUGUUAGAUA